UACAGAGGGUGCAAGCGUUGUUCGGAAUUAUUGGGCGUAAAGCGCGUGUAGGCGGCUUUGCAAGUCGGGUGUGAAAUCCCUCAGCUCAACUGAGGAAGUGCGCCCGAAUCUGCAGAGCUUGAGUACCGGAGAGGAUGGCGGAAUUCCCCAAGUAGAGGUGAAAUUCGUAGAUAUGGGGAGGAACACCGGUGGCGAAGGCGGCCAUCUGGACGGAUACUGACGCUGAGACGCGAAAGCGUGGGUAGCAAACAGG
Molecule: ribosomal RNA, 253 nt
Filed under: uncultured bacterium
Lineage: Bacteria
Description: partial 16S ribosomal RNA
Rfam family: Bacterial small subunit ribosomal RNA
Source: RNAcentral